This 301-nucleotide ribosomal RNA is filed under the name uncultured bacterium. RNAcentral's name for it is "partial 16S ribosomal RNA". It matches the Rfam family "Bacterial small subunit ribosomal RNA", at positions 509 to 807 of the family's 1533-position model. The record is from RNAcentral.
CAGUAGCCGCGGUAAUACGAAGGGUGCAAGCGUUACUCGGAAUUACUGGGCGUAAAGCGCACGUAGGCGGACACUUAAGUCAGAGGUGAAAUCCCAAGGCUCAACCUUGGAACUGCCUUUGAUACUGGGUGUCUUGAGUUCGGGAGAGGUAAGUGGAACUGCGAGUGUAGAGGUGAAAUUCGUAGAUAUUCGCAAGAACACCAGUGGCGAAGGCGGCUCACUGGCCCGAUACUGACGCUGAGGUGCGAAAGCGUGGGGAGCAAACAGGAUUAGAUACCCGCGUAGUCCCUGUCUCUUAUAC